Molecule: long non-coding RNA, 1095 nt
Filed under: Parus major (Great Tit)
Lineage: Eukaryota; Metazoa; Chordata; Aves; Passeriformes; Paridae
Description: lncRNA (ENSPMJG00000015036.1)
Source: RNAcentral
GAGCUGCCCGGUUCGGGACGAGCUGAUCGCGAAAUAAGGACUGGCCCUGCGGAGAGCAGAGCACGGAGAGCUGGUGUGUCUAGCCCUGGCCCCGUACCCUGCCUGGAAGCAGCGCCCGCUCGGCAUCUUCCUCCCUCCAGCCCCAGUCCGGUUAAUCCCGUGUCAUCUUCCUCGAAGAGCUGCCUUCUAACUUCGGCGCCGACGCCAGGUCUGCCUGCACGUCGUGGGCAGGAUGGGGGUUGCGGCAUCCCCUCUCUGCCCCGGGGGCAGCCAGCCCCCUCCUCCUCUUCCUCCCACCGCCGAGCCCCGCGCUGGAAUUCCUUUGGCACAGCCUCUUCAUCAUGUCCUGCCAGGGGCGGAGAACCCUCAACCGAGUGCCUAGGCGGACCUGCCUCAGCUCCGCGGACAGAUCCCGGCUCCGGGAGGAGCAACCCCAGCACCACGGACAGAUCCCGGCUCCGGGAGGAACAAGCCCAGCACCACGGACAGAUCCCGGCUCCGGGAGGAACAAGCCCAGCACCNCCCAGCACCACGGACAGAUCCCGGCUCCGGGAGGAACAAGCCCAGCACCACGGACAGAUCCCGGCUCCGGGAGGAACAAGCCCAGCACCUCGGACAGAUCCCGGGUGCCUCCGGGCUCCCGGCGGGAGGGAGUUGGGGAGCUCGGCUCUCGCUCCGGGCCCGCUCCGUGCCUUGGUGCCCCGGGUUCCUGCGUACUGCAGCUGCGGUAGCGGCACUCAGCUCUGCCGAGAAAUCUCCCUGCACGCACUGCCACCCACCUUGCUCACGGUGCCAGAAGAGGGCUGGUAUUUGGGCUCAGAAUCUGUCUUCUGUGGAUCGGGAUUUAUGAGCUUGGACGGUGCCUGGUUACAUUGGUGUAUGAGUCUACAGACCCCGAGGUGCACUACAGAGUUACAAAGAAACCUUGGAUGUGUCAAGGCGUGGAGGGCUAAAAUAAGCCCUAUACAACUAGCAAAUCCAACCCAGGCCUUUCUGCCUCCCUGCAACCAACUUUACACACACACACACACAACUGUGAGAUUUCCCUCCUUUCCUCCGCUCUCCAUGCUCCUUCCUUCAGUGACGGUAGGAUGA